GGAUGUGAGGGCAAUCUGGCUGCGACAUCUGUCACCCCAUUGAUCGUCAGGGUUGAUUCAGUUGGUCUGGCUGGCUCGGCGGGUGUCCCCUUCCACCCUCACUGCUCCAUGUGUGUUCGGUCGAAGAGGAUGACCAUCCCCAAUAGAGGAGGACCAGUCUUCAGUCAAGGGUGUACGAGUAGCUGCACUCCCCUGCUGGAACCUCCAAACAAGCUCUCAAGACUAGCUUUGGGACUCUCACUACACUGUGGCCACAGAGUUCUGUGCCCAAAGU
Molecule: small nuclear RNA, 274 nt
Filed under: Saimiri boliviensis boliviensis (Bolivian squirrel monkey)
Lineage: Eukaryota; Metazoa; Chordata; Mammalia; Primates; Cebidae
Description: 7SK RNA (ENSSBOG00000007534.1)
Rfam family: 7SK RNA
About the family: 7SK was discovered as an abundant small nuclear RNA in the mid-70s but a possible function has only recently been suggested. Two independent studies have found that 7SK RNA binds the CDK9/cyclin T complex (known as elongation factor P-TEFb). P-TEFb activates transcription by phosphorylating the C-terminal domain of RNA polymerase II.
Source: RNAcentral